This is a long non-coding RNA of Xenopus laevis (African clawed frog), 1282 nucleotides long. RefSeq lists it as uncharacterized. The transcript is spliced from 3 exons. NCBI's taxonomy places the organism in Eukaryota, Metazoa, Chordata, Amphibia, Anura, Pipidae. The record is from RefSeq and is a predicted model, not a curated record.
ACGUAAAGAAGGGAGAAGCUGUCAUUGGCUGAAAAGCACUGGGGCAGGGCGAGAUUGCAGAGUUAGGGACCGUCUGCCAAUUUUAUACUGCUAAUGAAAACUCCAGUUGUGCAUUGUGUCACAGCUUGAAAUUGAGUUUACUGAUCAUGGAACUUGCAGAUAAUCCCUAACUUUGCACAAUUUUCAGCGUGACUUCGGGUCUGCAGCACAGCCAAGCCCCAGUUUAGCCCCGGCCAAGUACGGGUGUACCCCCUGUACCCCUCUGCUUGUACUGACAGGACCCAGUUUAGCCGGUGAAAGGGCCACAGCAGAGCAAUGCAAGGAAUGGGUUAUUCUCCUUCCAGAGAUCAAUCACACAGUGACCAUAGUUGUGUAGUUGUAUAGUUGUGCUGUCAUCAGGCACAUUGUAUAUUGUUUAGAAAAGGGCAUCCAUUUGUAUUGACCUUUCUCACGGGCUGCAGCACAGUGAUUUGUGAUAAAUAAUAAAAGCAGUUCAGGGGCACAUGAGCGGGGGGUUAUAUUAUGGAUGAGAAAUAAUUAUGGGGAGGUGCAAUAGUAAUGAAAUAGGGGUUGUUAAAAGGAACAUUAUAUGACAUUAAAUGGGGAGACUGAGGACAGUUCUGGAUGGUUUAUGAUAUCUGUAAAUCUCCUCCACAGUAAACAUGGCCGUGCUACCUACAUAUGCAGACCUGGGCAAAUCCUCCCGAGAUGUUUUUAAUAAAGGAUAUGGAGUUCACAAGCAGCGGCUUAUCCAACAAUGACACCGGAAAAGCAUCUUGAAACCUACAGACAAAAUACAUGAUGAAAGAGGCUGGACUCACCUUCACCCAGAAAUGGAACACAGACAACAUUCUGGGGACUGAAGUGGCCCUGGAAAAUAAGUAAGAAGAGUGCUAAGCUAAAAACCUCCUACAAGAGAGACUAUGCCAACUUGGGCAUUGAUAUCACCCUGGACUUGGCUGGUCCCACUAUAUAUGGCUGGAGGGUGCUUGGCUAUCAGGGCUGGCUGGCCAGCUAUCAGAUGGCAUUUGACACCGCUAAAGCCAGACUGGCACAAAACAACUUUGCACUAGGUUAUACAGCAGGAGACUUGCAGCUUCAUACAAAUGUAAAUAUGAUGUACACCGGGGAUGAGUGACCAACUUGUAGACUGCUGUGUAUAGCACUGAUAAUACACUGUACUGAACUAUUGUACCAGGUAUCUCUACACACUGAUAAUGACCAGGCUGCUCUGUAUAAUGAUGCCGAGUAUCUCUAUACACUGAUAAUGACCAGGCUGCUU